Molecule: non-coding RNA, 29 nt
Filed under: Mus musculus (house mouse)
Lineage: Eukaryota; Metazoa; Chordata; Mammalia; Rodentia; Muridae
Source: RNAcentral
UGCAUGUAGCUCAGNAAUUUUUCCAUCGA